AUUAAUUAAUUGGGGGGAAAUCUAAGACGUUUGUGAACCGUCUAAUGAUAGUUCGAACCUAUCAAUUAAAA
RNAcentral lists this transfer RNA (71 nucleotides) under Petrobiona massiliana. Its description in RNAcentral is "tRNA-His". Lineage: Eukaryota; Metazoa; Porifera; Calcarea; Baerida; Petrobionidae. The record is from RNAcentral.